Molecule: ribosomal RNA, 1352 nt
Filed under: uncultured bacterium
Lineage: Bacteria
Description: bacterial SSU rRNA
Rfam family: Bacterial small subunit ribosomal RNA
Source: RNAcentral
AUUGAACGCUGGCGGCAUGCCUUACACAUGCAAGUCGAACGGCAGCACGGAGCUUGCUCUGGUGGCGAGUGGCGAACGGGUGAGUAAUAUAUCGGAACGUACCCUAGAGUGGGGGAUAACGUAGCGAAAGUUACGCUAAUACCGCAUACGAUCUAAGGAUGAAAGUGGGGGAUCGCAAGACCUCAUGCUCGUGGAGCGGCCGAUAUCUGAUUAGCUAGUUGGUAGGAUAAAAGCCUACCAAGGCAUCGAUCAGUAGCUGGUCUGAGAGGACGACCAGCCACACUGGAACUGAGACACGGUCCAGACUCCUACGGGAGGCAGCAGUGGGGAAUUUUGGACAAUGGGCGAAAGCCUGAUCCAGCAAUGCCGCGUGAGUGAAGAAGGCCUUCGGGUUGUAAAGCUCUUUUGUCAGGGAAGAAACGGUGAGAGCUAAUAUCUCUUGCUAAUGACGGUACCUGAAGAAUAAGCACCGGCUAACUACGUGCCAGCAGCCGCGGUAAUACGUAGGGUGCAAGCGUUAAUCGGAAUUACUGGGCGUAAAGCGUGCGCAGGCGGUUUUGUAAGUCUGAUGUGAAAUCCCCGGGCUCAACCUGGGAAUUGCAUUGGAGACUGCAAGGCUAGAAUCUGGCAGAGGGGGGUAGAAUUCCACGUGUAGCAGUGAAAUGCGUAGAUAUGUGGAGGAACACCGAUGGCGAAGGCAGCCCCCUGGGUCAAGAUUGACGCUCAUGCACGAAAGCGUGGGGAGCAAACAGGAUUAGAUACCCUGGUAGUCCACGCCCUAAACGAUGUCUACUAGUUGUCGGGUCUUAAUUGACUUGGUAACGCAGCUAACGCGUGAAGUAGACCGCCUGGGGAGUACGGUCGCAAGAUUAAAACUCAAAGGAAUUGACGGGGACCCGCACAAGCGGUGGAUGAUGUGGAUUAAUUCGAUGCAACGCGAAAAACCUUACCUACCCUUGACAUGGCUGGAAUCCCCGAGAGAUUGGGGAGUGCUCGAAAGAGAACCAGUACACAGGUGCUGCAUGGCUGUCGUCAGCUCGUGUCGUGAGAUGUUGGGUUAAGUCCCGCAACGAGCGCAACCCUUGUCAUUAGUUGCUACGAAAGGGCACUCUAAUGAGACUGCCGGUGACAAACCGGAGGAAGGUGGGGAUGACGUCAAGUCCUCAUGGCCCUUAUGGGUAGGGCUUCACACGUCAUACAAUGGUACAUACAGAGCGCCGCCAACCCGCGAGGGGGAGCUAAUCGCAGAAAGUGUAUCGUAGUCCGGAUUGUAGUCUGCAACUCGACUGCAUGAAGUUGAAAUCGCUAGUAAUCGCGGAUCAGCAUGUCGCGGUGAAUACGUUCCCGGGUCU